GAUGAACGCUGGCGGCGUGCUUAAUACAUGCAAGUCGAGCGAAGCACUUUAACGGAAUUCUUCGGAAGGAAGGUAAAGUGACUGAGCGGCGGACGGGUGAGUAACGCGUGGGUAACCUGCCUUAUACAGGGGGAUAACAGUUAGAAAUGGCUGCUAAUACCGCAUAAGCACACAGGGCCGCAUGGCCCGGUGCGAAAAAACUCCGGUGGUAUAAGAUGGACCCGCGUCUGAUUAGCUAGUUGGUGGGGUAACGGCCUACCAAGGCGACGAUCAGUAGCCGACCUGAGAGGGUGACCGGCCACAUUGGGACUGAGACACGGCCCAA
This 325-nucleotide ribosomal RNA is filed under the name uncultured bacterium. Its description in RNAcentral is "bacterial SSU rRNA". It matches the Rfam family "Bacterial small subunit ribosomal RNA", at positions 28 to 334 of the family's 1533-position model. The record is from RNAcentral.